Molecule: non-coding RNA, 25 nt
Filed under: Cricetulus griseus (Chinese hamster)
Lineage: Eukaryota; Metazoa; Chordata; Mammalia; Rodentia; Cricetidae
Source: RNAcentral
GGGUGCUGACGGUGGGGGUUAAGCC